AGAGUUUGAUCCUGGCUCAGGACGAACGCUGGCGGCGUGCUUAACACAUGCAAGUCAAGGGGGCCCGCAAGGGCAACCGGCGAACGGGUGCGUAACACGUGAGCAACCUACCGAUUUGUGGGGGAUAGCUGUCCUAACGGGCAGGUAAUACCGCAUACGCUCUUUUGGUCUCAUGACUGACUGAGGAAACUUUCGAGGCAAAUCGAGGGGCUCGCGGCCUAUCAGCUAGUUGGCGAGGUCACGGCUCACCAAGGCGACGACGGGUAGCUGGUCUGAGAGGAUGGCCAGCCACAUUGGGACUGAGAAACGGCCCAGACUCCUACGGGAGGCAGCAGUGGGGAAUCUUGCGCAAUGGGCGAAAGCCUGACGCAGCGACGCCGCGUGGGGGAUGACGGGUUUCGGCUUGUAAACCCCUGUUGCCCGGGACGAACUUCUCCUUUCGAGGAGAUUGACGGUACCGGGUGAGGAAGCACCGGCUAACUCUGUGCCAGCAGCCGCGGUAAUACGUAGGGUGCAAGCGUUGUUCGGAAUUACUGGGCGUAAAGGGCUCGUAGGCGGCCAACUAAGUCAGACGUGAAAUCCCUCGGCUUAACCGGGGAACUGCGUCUGAUACUGGAUGGCUUGAGAUUGGGAGAGGGAUGCGGAAUUCCAGGUGUAGCGGUGAAAUGCGUAGAUAUCUGGAGGAACACCGGUGGCGAAGGCGGCAUCCUGGACCAACACUG
This 722-nucleotide ribosomal RNA is filed under the name uncultured bacterium. Its description in RNAcentral is "bacterial SSU rRNA". It matches the Rfam family "Bacterial small subunit ribosomal RNA", at positions 8 to 742 of the family's 1533-position model. The record is from RNAcentral.